Myiozetetes cayanensis is the source of this 9589-nucleotide long non-coding RNA. RefSeq lists it as uncharacterized. The record is from RefSeq and is a predicted model, not a curated record. The transcript is spliced from 4 exons. NCBI's taxonomy places the organism in Eukaryota, Metazoa, Chordata, Aves, Passeriformes, Tyrannidae.
ACUUGGUGUCGUGACUUGCUCCUGAUAACAAAAGAUGUGGAACUUGAUUUGCAAUAAUUUUUAUUUGUGUUUCUCUUCUGUUACAGAUGCAAGGAAGAUACUUGGGCCUGACUUUCAUCUGCCCUAAGACUUUCUCAUCAGCACGCUCUCCCUAAUUAACUUCUAUUGCAAAACUUCUGCCAAACUGAACUGACCUCAAGUAAACAGCGGUGAGGUGGUGUGGUCUGUGAAUCUCUGAGUGAUGGUACAGUCAGGUUUAUCAUGAGGGGAAAGGACACAGAAAUGUUUGCCCAGACUGCUGGGCUCACCAGGAGCAUGGAGCACUUCAGCCUAUAUAAAAAUUAUGUUCUCAAAAAAAAAAAUCAAUACAUUUUCUAUGACAUUAGCAAACCCUGAGCUGUAUGGCAAGCUGUAUUUAAAAGCUGAAUGGAUUUUUUUUUUAACCUAAACCACGACCUUGUCAGGGAAGCAGUGGGUUGCCAAAGGAACAACGAGACAACAACCUAGUAUUCCUGACAAAAAUGCAGAAUAUCCUGACAGCUCAAAGGAAGACCCAGGUUCAAGGUGGCCCAUGCACCAGAGUAAAAUCCAGUGUGUUGUGUUGGGUAUAUCCCAAGCCAGAGUUUCUCAGGCAGUGGCUGGUGAAUCAUUUCUCAGUGAUACACUAUACCAGGAGGUGUCAGUGUCUCCUGCCUCUGCUCUGUGUGCCUGCGAGGGGUUUAUGGUAGGAGCUGCUCAGAGUUUGCAGUUGGGACUCUGGGAUCUCUUCAAUGGAAAGUUGCCCCUGCUUUAAACAGAGGAGUGGGACCAGCUUUCAACAACAGCAUGGGCCAGUGAGAAAAGCAUCUGAGUUUAUAGAGGUCAGGAGGGGAAUUACAACUUCUGUUUAGCUCUUCAAAUAGGGAUAUCCACAUCCAUACAAGUCCUGGGUUCACCUUAAUAACAAUGUCCCCUAAAUAGGAGCAAAACACUUUACUCAGGCACCCCAAGUAAUGCGGUACCCUGCUGAAGUCAGAGUGCUGAAGGGUUUGUAAAACAACAAUACAUCACCUCCCAGGAUGGGUAUUUUACACAAGGGCCUUCCACUCUCUGUCAGUCUUGGCCAGUUCAACCUCCCUGAGGCAAAUGAGGACCCAAGUGAAGAAACUGGAACACAAACAUCUUCAGAGCCAAAAUGUUGUGUGACCCUGGGAGCUACUGGUUGUGUCCACAGCACCUCAGGCUCAGUUUGGAGGGCAGGCUGUGCCCAGUCUGGUACGCUAACUGUGUGGACACAUCCAUCAGGAAGGAUGUAAGUCGUGCCUGGGAAAUAAAAUGCAAGCAAAGUGAGUCUGCAAACUGGAAAUGCUCAGUGACAUCCGAUAUGGUGUGUGUUGGCACUUGCAGACAGGAGGGCUUAGGAUAACCCUGCUUGCGGGAAUGUCAUGGGACGAAGCUUCCAGUCACAAAGACAGCUCUCCCAGGAUCUCAGAAAGCUGUAGUUUACCUUGGAGUUGUGCAGAAGCUAGUCAUUCAUCUAUUAGACGUUUGGAGGAAAUCUUUGGGAGAAUAACAGUGCUUCUUUUGAGGGCCCAGACUAGAGAAAAGACUUUCACAGCACUCAGAAACCUGGUCCCUACAGGCAGGGAGAGUCGCAGUGGUCAUCAAAUCCCUCUGAAGUGCAGUGAGAGGCUUGGACAAGCCCACACAGGGCUAAUGCAACAUGGACACUCAUUGCAGAUCCCAAAAGAGCUGCACCAGCAAAGGACAUGACCAUGCUGGGAGAGUGCUGCUUUUUCCACUUCCAGAGGAGACCUCUUUGGCAAUUGCAAAGCUCACUCCACUUUUGCAGGCUGGAGCAGAUGACUGGUAUCUCCAUGUACCACCACGUCCACCUCAAGGGAUGACAGCUCCUAUGGUGCUGGUCCAUGACCAAUCCCAAACACUUGUGCUGACAGCGUGUGUCUCCUUUCACAGCCAUACCCUGCUCUUCCUCACUUUAAAGUAGAUCACUCCAUGGACCUUAUGCCAGCACCUGAGAUCCUCUAGAGUCUAUACAUAAGCCUAGUGUCUCGAUGUAGUGCACCCUGGCUUCAGAGACCAGUUCACCCUUGCUAGGGGCUGGCUCAGCCUGUGUGCUGGCAGCAAUGCCAUGUGCUUAAAUGUGGCUCCAGCAAGGUUCAUUUUGCUGGGACUGGAUGGGAAAACAAAGGGCUUUUGUCCCAGGGGAGAUGUCUGGGUAUGAGAAACCACCAGUUUCCCCAAGCCGUGCUGACUUGGUGCACCUCAGCAUCCAAACUGGCAAAGACCUCAACACAAUGUCAGCCUCCCUGCUACCUUUUGCAAAGGCCUUGGUUUUGCUCGGGCCCUGGGAUUCAGGGGCACCAACCACAUGGGCCAGACCUUCACCUUCUCUUUCACAGCAUCUUCUCUGCUCGGAUGGGCAGUGCUCAACAGCAGGGGAGCACCGAGUAACAACACCUGCUGCUGUGGGGGUUGCUGUCAGUGUUGUGUGGUUUUUGUCCAUGCUGAUGGAAAAGCCAAACUCUGUGCUUGCAGUGAAAUCUGUGAGGUUUUAUGGGAAAUCAGGCAAGGCAACCUUGGCCCUGUCAUCUAUACCAGAGUUUGGGAUUUCUUGUAAAUUUCUGGAGUUUUUCCUAAGAUCAUAUUCCCCCCAGUCCCCCAUCUUUCUUCCUCCAAUGGAAUCAGAAGCUCACUGCCCAAGGACUGUCCCCACCAUUCGCUUCCUACAACAUAUGCCUCAGUUCCUCGUGGCAAAAUUAAAUUCUGCUUUUGCAUCUGGGAAAUGUUGAGCUUUGCCCAGACUUGUGCUUGUCCAGUGCCCACACAGGCUGCAGUGCUCGGAAAAACCCAAGGCUGAAGCCCUCGGCUCAGACUCGUUCGCUCAGCUGUGGUCUCCAUCACUCCUCAUCACGCCGAGUGUGGACAUUAAUAUAGUUAAUGUGGCAGAGUCACAGCCCUGGCCUGAAGGACCUGCCAUCAACAAGAUGCCCUUUAUGAAAUGAUUUCUGUCAGGGUGAUUUAUUGAGAAGCAUUUUGCCUGGUUUUAUCUCAGUCAGUGGGACUGUUUGGUGGGAGGUUUGCUCCAGUGGGGCCGGUGUCUCAUCCAUGAGCCAGAGGCUCUCAGAAGUGGCUUUGGCCUUUCUCAAAUUAGUCUGCUUGUGACUCACAAACUUGUGUCUUGCUUUUAGAUGAGAGAGAUAGAGGAAGGACGGGUAAAUAGGCAGACUGGUGCAAGUUUCAUCCCAGCAAAUUGCUUGAGCUACAUCAGAGAUGUUGCCAGUGGGCUUUAGACAUGCAAUUCCUGCCUGCUCCUCCAUUAACCCUUCCCUUAGAGAAGAAAACGAGAGCACCUUGUUUCCUCACCAGGACCAAAGCACAGUGCUAGGAAGGUGAAAUGACCCCUCAUGCUUGUGUGCUGUGGGGACCUGAGAAGCAGGAUGACCAUCCAAAGUGGUCAUCCAUCACAGCAUUCCAUGUAUCUGGGGGACUGCUGGGUUUGCACAGAAACCCUUCACCAAAAUCUGUAGCAUUUCCCACCAGCCUCCCCAUAUGCCUGAGAUCUGGAGGAGGAAACUCCACAUGAAGUAACCAGCCACAGGAAGGGCUAAGGAAGGAGCCAGCACAGGAACUGGAUAAAACUGCCCCAUGUCCCCUUCAUGCUGGAUACCUGCUUCACACGUGGGGGGUGAUGAGCUCCCAGGAAAGGAUUUCUGAAUAUGCACAAAGCUAAAAGAGAAUUGCUGUAUUUCUACUGGCUACAGGAGCGCCAAAAGUACAGAGAGACUCCUGGUCCAGCCUCUGAGCAGCUUUUCCAACACAUGAAGUGUUUCCAUGUCUCUCCUCUCCUCCACUCCAAGAAGAUUUAGUUGUAUCCUUAAAAAAAGUAGUAGUAACCUUUGACAUGUCUACUUCUGGCCCAUUUUCUAAAGACACAAGGUUUAUUUAAUGGUGCUGUGUGUGAUUGGCUCCCUCACAACUUGAACCCACUGGCCAAAUUUAAUGAAGGUGGACAGAGUUAGAGGGCUCAAAGACUUCAGGUUCUGCAAAGUUUUGUGAAUAUAUGUGAGUGAGCAGACAAGGAAUAUGCUCUGUGUUCCCUGACCAAAGGGCAGAAUUUGGGGAUAAAAGCUCAACAAUAUGACCCAAAGGCCUCCAGUACCAAAGACAAAUGAAAAACAAGCACUUACUUUUUUUUUUAAACGUCAUGCUUUUUAAGCCAUAAAAUCUCAUGAGUUUGGAGGGACCAGACUCCUGACUUUUAAACCCUUGGCUAUGGAAGCAGACAUGUUGGAGUCUCAUUGCAGCCAAGAGAAGUCAGGAGACCAUCUCAACCGCCUGAAGGUACUUCUUCACCUCCUCCUUCAUGCUGGUUCCCUGCCAGGACAUUCCUAGAAGCAAGAAAACAAUGCUCCCAGCCUGGAACCAUGCUGUUGUCUCUGAAUAAGUGGUACAUGUUGGGGGAGGGGCGGGGGGACACAUAGCCUGGGACAAGGCACAUCAAAGAGCAGGAUGUACUGGAUAACUUUGGGCAAGUCUCUUUACACUCUUGUGCCUCCACCUCUCUUCUCACCCCGCAGAAACCUUCGGUGGGGUGGACUUUUCCCUCAUGUGUCUGUACAGCACCUACUACUACAGGGUUCUCACCAGGCUGGGCCUGCAGGGAGGGACUGCAUUGGGUCCUAAAACAUAACAGUUACGGGCACAGCAAUCUCAUUGAAGAGCCACGGGAUCAGCUUCACCACAGACAGGAAAGGGGACAGCCUUGCUUGUAGGAAUCUUUGCCCAGGGGCUUUGUUCCUGGGAUGGGUUCCCCUUGGCUAGGGUUUGUCUCACAGACAUUCAUCCCAAGCAACGCUGAAGAGAUAGAAAGCUGAGGUGAGGAAAAAGAGAGAAAUGUAAGAGCAGGCGGAAAGGAAGACAGACACUGGGAGAGAGAAAGCAGGAGACAGUUGUCAUGUCUGUCAGAACAGGUUGUUGCUGACUCAGGGCAAAAUAUUCCUGUUGGAAGACCAAAAGCCUUCCCUAGCCCAUCUGCUGUGUGCACAGACCAUGCUCUCACAGCCAGCAACCAGGAGAAGGCUGGCACUGCUCCCUGCUGAGGAGCACAGCUGAAAACUGCCCCAUUUGCUUCCUUUGGAUGCAUAAGUCACUCCCCAUAAAGGCCUGAUAAUCCAAGGAGAGCUUCUCCAGGGUGUGCAUUUGCCUUCAUUCCUGACUGUACUUGGCUGUAAGACGGGCAUUUCACCUACGGUUCCCACGCGAAGAAACCCCCAGGGCUGUAACCCAGCUUCUCCCUCCCCACAGACAGCUAUUUACAAGGUUUCAAUGGGUAGGUCAGAAACAGCUCCAUGUCCAGAAUUGCCACUGCCAAAGGAAGGAGAGGGGGGGUCUUUGCAAAGGGCUUUAAUAAUCUUCCUGUUGCUCUGGCUGGCAGCUUUCGGCAUUCGUCCCACAUUCUUUAGUAGCCCUUUCCUUAGCAAUGAAUAGGCUUUCAGCACGCUCUCAUAAUGGUUUCUUUUCCUGUGGCACUCAGAAAAAGCUUUCAGCCUGCUCCAGCUGCCGCCUCUGCUGCCUCCCCUUAUCCACCAGAAAGAUGUGGUGGCUCUGCUCAGCAUAUCCUCUGCUGCCAACAGAGCCACUCUUUCACCUCUGCAACAAGGUGGCGUGUGAGCAAGGGGUGGAGGGUGGCUUUGCCUCGCUUCAUUUUUCUUAAGGCUCCUUUGCAAGCUGAGUUAGGGCUUCUUCAACCCCUCGAGAAGGACAUGUGUCCCGUGGCUCAGCAGCCCCGAUGCAGGAUCAGGGGGCUUCAGCCUGGGGCUGACACCCUGUUCUGUGGCUGCACUGUGCCAGAGGCUGAACUUGCACCCCCUGAUGCAAGAGGUCUGGGCUCUGACCUCAGGCAGGUGUAAAGCGCACGGUCCUCCUGCCUUGUUUUGCUCAUCUUAAUUCCCAGCAGGGCUGUUAUUCCCCAGACCUGCAGUGACAGGACUGUUAACACGACCGCAGAGGUGUGCAAUCCACUCUGCACAGGUAUGUUGUUGUUUGUUUUGCUUCGCCUGGUUUUGAUAAUGAUGCUGCUUCAUUAGGGAGCUGAAAUUGCUUUAGCUCAGGCUAGCAAAAGGGCCUUUGGAGCUCCCAGCAGUCAUCUCAUACACCUACAGCAGCCUAGACAGCUUUGAAAAUUUUACGGUGGGUAAUGCAAGCUCAGAUUCUCAAAGGUUUUGAGAUCAAUGAGAAAUACAAGCCCCAGACAAACAUCAGGUAUCAACGUACUUUUCCAGGUCUAGCUAGGAAAUGUGUCUGAAACUGUGGACUUCAGCAGCAAAAAGCUCAGUUUCCAUGAUGCAAACACGAUGGGAGGAAAUGAAGAGAGUAGCAAUGCAACUCGAGUAAGUAUUUACCAUUUUCUUUAGAUAUAUGUUACUCCCUCUGUAUUUCCACAUAUUUUUAUGUCUCUUUUCAGGACUAAAGAGAUAAUCUGCAUUGCCCCCUUUCUCCCAUAUUAGGAAAACUACUUUGUGAUUCACACAGAGAACUGGGACCACAGUAAACACAAGAGCCAUCAAAGGAGCCUUAGAGUAAACAAGAAUAUUUUUGAUCAGGUGUGAGAACUUACCCAGCCUGGAAAGACAUUGGAUUAACAUGUGACACUGUGGUAGGAUUGCAUUUGGGACUGGAUUCUUUUAGUUGCUAGUCAGGAACCUACAUGAAACAGGACCUGAGGGAAUAUUCUUUGGAUCCGUUGGCACUGAGGGCCUGGGGACUUUCCUUCUGUGGUUUUGGAUGUCUUGAAAUCUGGCUCAUUCUGACAAGUCCAGGUGACUGUGUGUGGGUCCUGCAUCCAGCUUGCAAUGGGUUGAGCAGGUCAGAGGCACUGGGAAGAGCUGAGGAACACAGCUUGUGUUCCUCCCAGAGGCAGGCAGAGAACACUUCUGCGAUGGGGCUGGAGUCUGUCCAAAUUGCUUGGCAUCCCAGGCCCAACAAGUCUUCUUGCCAAGCUAAAGUCUGCAUACCAAGGAAGUGCUCUAGGCCUUCCCAUCUCAGCUAGCGUGAUGUGGCUCUUCUAAGGACUUCGUUUUGCUUGGUAGAAAACAAGCUCCCUCCCACGUGCUCUUCCUGAAUUCUCCUCAGAAAAAGGCCACUCUGUAAUACAGCCCCUUAGGACACUGCAGGCUGCCCAGAAUGUCUCCAUUUGGAUGUUUGAGAGCAUCUUUAUUCAAGCUUCUCUUGAAAAACAUGAAUAUACAUUGCAAUGUCUUUCUGCCCUCUUCCCUUUCAUCUUGCUCCCUCCGCCCCCACCACGGCUUUGAGGGAUCAGUCUUCAAACUACUUCAAACCAAACCAGUCGCGGCACAUGGGCUGAUUGAUGACUUCUCUCUAAGCCUACAGGAGUUAGGGUCUCCCAAGGACAGAAGGUAAAUGGCAUCCAGACCCAAGGAAGCUCCUGAAAGCUGCAGAUGACCUUGUCAGUCUUAAGAAGAGGGAAAUAGAAUCAGGAAGACAGAGGAGAGGGAGGCGGCACAGUGAGUGUUCUCUGCACUCUUGCUGCUAUGUGGUUUUGUAGGAAACGUGGCCUGAGGGAUACUCUGACCUGUGCCAAGUGAGCAUGUAACAGAUGUGAGACUCAAGGAGCUGCAAACAGCUCUUUGAAAGCCUUCCUCUCCUCCUCUAGCAAAGAAAUUAAAAUCUGAUUUCUCUCAGACUUUGUAUGGGCCUUCUGCAGGUGUGGAAAAUCAUCAUCUCUGUUUCUUUGGGGCAUUAGGAUUAGACAUUACAUUUACAGAAAGUAACAGCUAGAUUACAGAUGUCCUAUUUUAAGUGUCCAUCCCAUGGAUAUGCAGCAAGACUGUGCUAGAAUUUAACAGUGGGAAUGGAGGAGUAGUAGGAAAAAGGACAUGUAAGCUUUUGCUCUGAGAGGUCCGACUAUAAACUUCUCUCAACAAAGCAGGAACAUUUCUGAGGACAGUGGCUCAAAUUAAAUCCUGCACUCUGCUUGCUUGGUGAUGAAGCAUAAAGGGGAAGGAUGUGAGUCCCUUACAGCCAUCAAGAUUUUUUCAUUCCUUCCACCAAGGAUGGAAUUUCAAAUGUCUACCAUCAAAAAUUAAUAUCAAGCAGAACUUGAUUGGACAUCAGCAUGACUGGAAUUUGACUGGAAAUCUUCCUUCCUGGGCCAGUGGUGAAAACUAUAUUGGCUGCUUCCUCACAUAAAGCAAAAGGAUUUUUUAAAAUUUUGUUUAAAAGGAACUGGAUUUUUUUUUCUGUGGUUGCUUGUUGUUGUUGUUAUUGUUUGGUUUUGAUUCCUCUCCUGAUUUCUGGAGGAAGCAUUCUAAGCCCUGUGAAGGUGAAAGCCAUUUAAGACAAAAAAAGAAUCUUCAGGUUGCAAUAGUAAAAGUCAAAAUCUCUGAUUUAGAAGCACCAGUGGGGUGGACAUUGGAAGCAUGCAGACUCAGUCACUGGAAAGCUCCCAAGAUCUACAAGUGCUGAAAUGAAAACAUGACACAAUGGAUCAGUCAACGAUUACUACUGAAUAAGCCACCGGGCUUUGGGGUUAAUCACUGCAGCCAUCCAUGAACUCUCACAGCGUGUGGAAAAACAGCUUUGCCUAGAAUGUCUUUGGGAUGAUGUCCAUUUGUAUGGUGGGAAGUUCAUGUGUUCCCUUGUCUCCUUCUUGACAAAAAUGUUCUGAUUUUGAGAUAUGUCAAGGAAAGAAGGAAAACUGUUUGGAUCAGUGUUUGAAUCAGGAAAUCAAAAGGGGGGAAAUAAAGGAAGGGGAAACUGGGACUCUGAAUUCUCAUGGUGUCAUUGACCAGGAAGCUUGACACAAGCAUCGCUUUGUCAAAGUGUUCUUCUUGAAGUGUUGUCUAUCACCAAACAGCCUUACCAUGGGUUAAAAAACAUUCACUGGGACCUACGAUUUUGGAGGUGUGUGUUCCUUCAGGUUACCUGACUGUUCUCAUGGCACUGCUGUCAGCAAAGUCAGUCCCACAAGGACAUGGUGUGUCUCCAAGAGAGGAGUCUGCUGUCAUUUCAUACAGUGGAAAAGGUUCUGUGUUAACUCUUGUGCUGAUCUCACACAUGUGUUGCUGCAAAUGAGUUUUCCAAUUUAAUACGUUCUUCUUGUUCACUCUUUCCUGAUUUUCUCCCUGUGCUUUCAUUUUGCAUAUGGGAAUGGCAUUUGUGCUCAUUGUUUAGAUUUAUGAUCUUUUCUCAGCUGAAACAGAGAAUAAAGACUUUAUAUUUAUGUACUUGUUUUAUAAUUUUCUGUCAUCCUUUCAUUUCCCCUUUUCUCUUCCCCUUUUCAUGGGUAAAUGGAAAGAAAAAAGGGUAAGAUCAAGAAAGAACAGCAGGGGAAAAUGCAAGGAAAAAAAGAAGCAUGACGUUUUCACAAGGAACAUUCUCAAAAUAUUAAUUAAAAAUCCAUUUUAGUAAUGCCUCUGAUGGGGAAAGAAACAAUUAUGUUGUGUGGUUACUUUAUUAUUCACAAACCUAUUUGCAGAAAAAGACUCAAACCUGAUUUAAAAAGAUCUACAAAACCUUUUUGUUCCUUUUGAGGUUUGUGGAACUGAAUGUCUUUAGAACCAUUUGC